This 24-nucleotide non-coding RNA is filed under the name Arabidopsis thaliana (thale cress). Lineage: Eukaryota; Viridiplantae; Streptophyta; Magnoliopsida; Brassicales; Brassicaceae. The record is from RNAcentral.
CUUCAAUCUUUAGGUUCAUUUCAC